GACGAACGCUGGCGGCGUGCCUAAUACAUGCAAGUAGAACGCUGAAGCGAGGAGCUUGCUCUUCUUGGAUGAGUUGCGAACGGGUGAGUAACGCGUAGGUAACCUGCCUUGUAGCGGGGGAUAACUAUUGGAAACGAUAGCUAAUACCGCAUAACAAUGGAUGACACAUGUCAUUUAUUUGAAAGGGGCAAUUGCUCCACUACAAGAUGGACCUGCAUUGUAUUAGCUAGUAGGUGAGGUAAUGGCUCACCUAGGCGACGAUACAUAGCCGACCUGAGAGGGUGAUCGGCCACACUGGGACUGAGACACGGCCCAGACUCCUACGGGAGGCAGCAGUAGGGAAUCUUCGGCAAUGGGGGCAACCCUGACCGAGCAACGCCGCGUGAGUGAAGAAGGUUUUCGGAUCGUAAAGCUCUGUUGUAAGUCAAGAACGGGUGUGAGAGUGGAAAGUUCACACUGUGACGGUAGCUUACCAGAAAGGGACGGCUAACUACGUG
This 497-nucleotide ribosomal RNA is filed under the name uncultured bacterium. Its description in RNAcentral is "partial 16S ribosomal RNA". It matches the Rfam family "Bacterial small subunit ribosomal RNA", at positions 28 to 507 of the family's 1533-position model. The record is from RNAcentral.